GUGGGGAAUAUUGGGCAAUGGGGGAAACCCUGACCCAGCGACGCCGCGUGAGGGAAGAAGGCCUUAGGGUCGUAAACCUCUGUUGUGUGGGAAGAAGAGCGUGACGGUACCACACGAGGAAGUCCCGGCUAACUACGUGCCAGCAGCCGCGGUAAUACGUAGGGGACGAGCGUUGUCCGGAUUUACUGGGCGUAAAGGGCGCGUAGGCGGUCAUUUAAGUCAGCUGUGAAAUGGUUUGGCUUAACCGGAUCAUGCGGUUGAAACUGGAUGACUGGAGUGCUGGAGAGGCAAGUGGAAUUCCCAGUGUAGCGGUGAAAUGCGUAGAUAUUGGGAAGAACACCGGUGGCGAAGGCGACUUGCUGGCCAGCAACUGACGCUGAGGCACGAAAGCCAGGGGAGCAAACGGGAUUAGAAACCCCUGUAGUCC
This 427-nucleotide ribosomal RNA is filed under the name uncultured bacterium. RNAcentral's name for it is "partial 16S ribosomal RNA". It matches the Rfam family "Bacterial small subunit ribosomal RNA", at positions 354 to 796 of the family's 1533-position model. The record is from RNAcentral.